UCGGCCAUUGCCUCUCACCUAGGCUCUCGCUGGGGCAGGGAUCCCAGAGUGCCGUUGCUUUUUACUCUUCUUUGGCUCUCCGUUUGGGCCCAUUAUCGUCGUGUUUUCAUGAUUAGCGCUCCGCGUGCUAAAGAACGAGGCCGCGUUUUACGUUUUUGGUUGGGGGCGGAUUUCUGCCUCCCCCAGCUUUUCAUCGAGCCUCCUUGUCCAACGGCACCUCGUUUGUUCGUAUAUGGGGAUGAUCCGCUCGAGUAUCUUCGGUAUCUGUGCGAUGAUCCGACUCUGGGCGAAGAGAUCGUUGACGAACACUUCUGGUUCAAGUAUUUUGAGUGGGUACGAGGGGAUGAUUAGUGCUGUCCCCGACUUCACUCUAAUCUAGGGCAUACUUGUCCUUGUAUGGACAGAAAGGGACGGCGAAAAGAGAAGAAAAUUCAAACCGGAUUUGAUGUUAAUUAAGGAGAAAACAAAA
Long non-coding RNA from Fopius arisanus, 469 nucleotides. RefSeq lists it as uncharacterized. The transcript has 3 exons. The record is from RefSeq and is a predicted model, not a curated record. NCBI's taxonomy places the organism in Eukaryota, Metazoa, Arthropoda, Insecta, Hymenoptera, Braconidae.